RNAcentral lists this ribosomal RNA (253 nucleotides) under uncultured bacterium. Its description in RNAcentral is "partial 16S ribosomal RNA". It matches the Rfam family "Bacterial small subunit ribosomal RNA", at positions 524 to 776 of the family's 1533-position model. The record is from RNAcentral.
UACGAAGGGGGCUAGCGUUGUUCGGAAUUACUGGGCGUAAAGCGCACGUGGGCGGACUACUAAGUCAGGGGUGAAAUCCCGGGGCUCAACCCCGGAACUGCCUUUGAUACUGAUAGUCUCGAGUCCGGAAGAGGUGAGUGGAAUUCCGAGUGUAGAGGUGAAAUUCGUAGAUAUUCGGAGGAACACCAGUGGCGAAGGCGGCUCACUGGUCCGGUACUGACGCUGAGGUGCGAAAGCGUGGGGAGCAAACAGG